GGCACUAUAGCUCAGUUGGUUAGAGCGCGCCUCUCAUAAGGGCGAGGUCGGUGGUUCAAAUCUACCUAGUGCCA
Molecule: transfer RNA, 74 nt
Filed under: candidate division SR1 bacterium
Lineage: Bacteria; Candidatus Absconditibacteriota
Also listed under: 1 other name
Rfam family: tRNA
About the family: Transfer RNA (tRNA) molecules are approximately 80 nucleotides in length. Their secondary structure includes four short double-helical elements and three loops (D, anti-codon, and T loops). Further hydrogen bonds mediate the characteristic L-shaped molecular structure. tRNAs have two regions of fundamental functional importance: the anti-codon, which is responsible for specific mRNA codon recognition, and the 3' end, to which the tRNAs corresponding amino acid is attached (by aminoacyl-tRNA synthetases). tRNAs cope with the degeneracy of the genetic code in two manners: having more than one tRNA (with a specific anti-codon) for a particular amino acid; and 'wobble' base-pairing, i.e. permitting non-standard base-pairing at the 3rd anti-codon position.
Source: Rfam by way of RNAcentral